This is a long non-coding RNA of Arvicola amphibius (Eurasian water vole), 923 nucleotides long. RefSeq lists it as uncharacterized. The record is from RefSeq and is a predicted model, not a curated record. The transcript is spliced from 4 exons. Lineage: Eukaryota; Metazoa; Chordata; Mammalia; Rodentia; Cricetidae.
CCUGCCUCUACAACCAGACGCAAUGAAGCUCCAGCCCAAGAUGGACAUACGCUAGAAACUUCCCGGUAUGGGUUGCACACAUUUAAUCAAGUUGUUGGCCAAAGGAGCCCUAUGGACAACCUGAUGCUGAAGACAAUAUUCAUUGAACAUUAAGAAGUCAAUCGAGACAGGUUGGCUCCCAGCAGCAGCUCUCUGCUCCCUCCAAAGAAUACAAGACAGAUGCGUGCAGAACAACGCCCUUCUGUGGUUCUGUGGUUCACUUCGACUGCCGAGCGCUGACCAUUGGAUAAACUGCCUUUCAUCUAAACUAAAGACCUCCAGACGUGGACUAAAUUGCUGGAAUCGACAAGCCUAGCUGCCCAGGUCAAGAAAGAAAAUAAAAGCUAAAUAAGAUGACUGCAUGUACAGCAAAGGAAUGACAGACAUGAUAACAUCAUAGCUGCAAACACCCCAUAGAGGAGUUCGAGAAACAGUUGGAGAGGAAUUCAUGAUCCAGUCUUUCCUGCCCCCAAGGAGAGGAGUGUCUAAUCACAGGACCUGCUACUAGAUACUCUACACUGCAGGGUUCCAUUCUGCCGGAGAUUCCAGACAAAGAGGCCCUGCUGAGAUAAUUGCCGAGAUGUGUUACCUGCUUCUGGUAGCUGAAUCCAGCUCACCUCACCCAGGAAUGUCACCUGCCCUGAGGAACAGAUGCUGAGCUGCUUCCAGACUUGGAAUACAGACCCAGAGGCCCUGCUGAGAUGACCUGACUGCAGUGACUACAAUUUUCCACAGUUUAAAUCCCUUUUGCUUUGGAGCUGAAAUUCAGACUGAACUAACUUCUCUUCACUUAAAAAGGGGGCAGACUAAGGGUUUAACUGCUGUUCAGAGACUAAAACUGGUAUUUGAUAACAGCAAUGUCAUUGUACUCUUACUGAAAUUGA